RNAcentral lists this ribosomal RNA (486 nucleotides) under uncultured bacterium. RNAcentral's name for it is "SSU rRNA". It matches the Rfam family "Bacterial small subunit ribosomal RNA", at positions 26 to 521 of the family's 1533-position model. The record is from RNAcentral.
AGGAUAAACGCUGGCAGCGUGCCUAACACAUGCAAGUCGAACGCGCUUGCUAUCCGCGAGGACGGUGAGCGAGUGGCGGACGGGUGAGGAACACGUGGGUGACCUACCUUUCAGUGAGGGAUACCGGCGAGAAAUUGCCGACAAGACCGCAUACGCUUCUCUUUUCAAGGGGAGAAGGAAAGCUUUUCGCAAGAGAGGCGCUGGGAGAUGGGCCUGCGGCCGAUUAGCUAGCUGGUGGGGUAAUGGCCUACCAGGGCGACGAUCGGUAGCUGGUCUGAGAGGACGAUCAGCCACACUGGGAUUGAGAACGGCCCAGACUCCUACGGGGGGCAGCAGUGAGGAAUUUUCGGCAAUGGGGGCAACCCUGACCGAGCAACGCCGCGUGCAGGACGACGGCCUUCGGGUUGUAAACUGCUUUUCUCUGGGACGAGCAAGGACGGUACCAGAGGAAGAAGCCCCGGCUAACUACGCGCCAGCAGCCGCGGU